This 253-nucleotide ribosomal RNA is filed under the name uncultured bacterium. Its description in RNAcentral is "partial 16S ribosomal RNA". It matches the Rfam family "Bacterial small subunit ribosomal RNA", at positions 524 to 776 of the family's 1533-position model. The record is from RNAcentral.
UACGGGGGGGGCAAGCGUUGUUCGGAAUUACUGGGCGUAAAGGGCUCGUAGGUGGCCAACUAAGUCAGACGUGAAAUCCCUCGGCUUAACCGGGGAACUGCGUCUGAUACUGGAUGGCUUGAGUUCGGGAGAGGGAUGCGGAAUUCCAGGUGUAGCGGUGAAAUGCGUAGAUAUCAGGAAGAACACCCGUGGCGAAAGCGGCUCUCUGGAACGGUACUGACGCUGAGACGCGAAAGCGUGGGGAGCGAACAGG